Molecule: ribosomal RNA, 491 nt
Filed under: uncultured bacterium
Lineage: Bacteria
Description: partial 16S ribosomal RNA
Rfam family: Bacterial small subunit ribosomal RNA
Source: RNAcentral
GAUGAACGCUGGCUACAGGCUUAACACAUGCAAGUCGAGGGGAAACGACGGGGAAGCUUGCUUCCCCGGGCGUCGACCGGCGCACGGGUGAGUAACGCGUAUCCAACCUGCCUCUGACUGAGGGAUAACCCGCCGAAAGUCGGCCUAAUACCUCAUGGCAUCGUCUGCGGGCAUCCAACGACGAUUAAAGAUUUCAUCGGUCAGAGAUGGGGAUGCGUCUGAUUAGCUUGUUGGCGGGGUAACGGCCCACCAAGGCGACGAUCAGUAGGGGUUCUGAGAGGAAGGUCCCCCACAUUGGAACUGAGACACGGUCCAAACUCCUACGGGAGGCAGCAGUGAGGAAUAUUGGUCAAUGGGCGAGAGCCUGAACCAGCCAAGUAGCGUGCAGGAUGACGGCCCUAUGGGUUGUAAACUGCUUUUAUGCGGGGAUAAAGUGAGGGACGUGUCCUUCAUUGCAGGUACCGCAUGAAUAAGGACCGGCUAAUUCCGUG